RNAcentral lists this long non-coding RNA (878 nucleotides) under Homo sapiens (human). RNAcentral describes it as "HSALNT0405272". The record is from RNAcentral. Lineage: Eukaryota; Metazoa; Chordata; Mammalia; Primates; Hominidae.
UGAUAAUUAGGAGUUGCUACCAUCUUCAUCAUCAUCACCACCAUCAUCCACACCACCACCAUCAUCUUCAUCACUAUUUACAUCAUCAUUAUUAUUUUCAUCUAAUAAAGAGAAAACUCAAUGCUUGUCAUGGCUUUAAUGAGCUUCAUGGCAUAGUGAAAACAUGACUUUGAAUUCAGGUAGCCUUCCACUCUGUGCCACUCAUAAGCUAUGUGACCUCAUACAAGUCAUUAUAUUUCUCUAAAUCUGUUUUCUCAUUUGUAAAAUGAGCACAGCUUUCAAGAGGAUGUUGAAGAAGUAAUGAGGAAUGUUGAUUAUGCCUGGCAUGGAACAAGUCAUUUAACCAAUGUUGACUCCCCAUCUCCCAUAUCCAGUCCUGUAUCCUCAACAGACUGCUUAGUUGGUGGUAUAUCUCAGACUAUGGACACAAACAUGGCAUUUCCAUUUGGAGAGAGGGAAAGAGCAGUGGUCAGAAAGCCAUCACUAGAGAUAACAAAACUGCAGAAUGGGAGUGACAGAUUAUCAAGUCACUGCAGGGAAGACGGUUGUCCUGGAAAGCAGCUGAAAUUCCACAGGACUUUUGUGAGCGAAAAAUAAACCAUUGUUGCAUUAAGCAACUCCAGUUUUGAAGUUUGUUACAGCGGCAUACGCUAACCUAUACUGAUUAAAACAAUGAUGAUCAAUCAAGUCCAUUUAUCUGAUUGUGGUUCUUGCUCUGAAUGCAUUAGUGGGUUGGUGGAUACUGCCCUCUCAGGGGCUGAUGGACUUACUUCCAGAGCAGAUUUUGGGUAGAGCAGAUGGAACCUGGAACUCCUGAGUCCAGAGAUCUGUCAUGACACUCGUGCCCUUUUAUGCAAUCUGAAGCUGUUCCCUUACAG